UACAUGGGGGGCAAGCGUUGUUCGGAAUUACUGGGCGUAAAGGGCUCGUAGGCGGCCAACUAAGUCACACGUGAAAUCCCCAGGCUCAACCUGGGAACUGCGUGUGAUACUGGAUGGCUUGAAUUCGGGAGAGGGAUGCAGAAUUCCAGGUGUAGCGGUGAAAUGCGUAGAUAUCUGGAGGAAUACCGGUGGCGAAGGCGGCAUCCUGGACCGACAUUGACGCUGAUGAGCGAAAGCUAGGGGAGCAAACGGG
This 253-nucleotide ribosomal RNA is filed under the name uncultured bacterium. RNAcentral describes it as "partial 16S ribosomal RNA". It matches the Rfam family "Bacterial small subunit ribosomal RNA", at positions 524 to 776 of the family's 1533-position model. The record is from RNAcentral.